GAUGAACGCUAGCUACAGGCUUAACACAUGCAAGUCGCGGGGCAGCAUGGGGGUUGCUUGCAAUCCCCGAUGGCGACCGGCGCACGGGUGAGUAACGCGUAUCCAACCUGCCCUUCACCACGGGAUAACCCGGCGAAAGUCGGACUAAUACCGUAUGUUGUCCAUUGACGGCAUCCGAUUUGGACGAAAGGUUUGGCGGUGAAGGAGGGGGAUGCGUCCGAUUAGCGGGACGGCGGGGUGACGGCCCACCGGGGCGACGAUCGGUAGGGGUGCUGAGAGGAAGGUCCCCCACACGGGAACUGAGACACGGUCCAGACUCCUACGGGAGGCAGCAGUGAGGAAUAUUGGUCAAUGGGCGUAAGCCUGAACCAGCCAAGUAGCGUGCAGGAUGACGGCCCUAUGGGUUGUAAACUGCUUUUAUGCGGGGAUAAAGUGGCCCACGUGUGGGUUUUUGCAGGUACCGCAUGAAUAAGGACCGGCUAAUUCCGUG
Molecule: ribosomal RNA, 490 nt
Filed under: uncultured bacterium
Lineage: Bacteria
Description: partial 16S ribosomal RNA
Rfam family: Bacterial small subunit ribosomal RNA
Source: RNAcentral